CCUACGGGAGGCAGCAGUGGGGGAUAUUGCACAAUGGGGGAAACCCUGAUGCAGCGACGCCGCGUGUGGGAAGACGGUCCUCUGGAUUGUAAACCACUUUCCCCAGGGACGAAGAUGACGGUACCUGGGGAGGAAGCUCCGGCUAACUACGUGCCAGCAGCCGCGGUAAUACGUAGGGAGCGAGCGUUGUCCGGCAUUACUGGGUGUAAAGGGAUCGUAGGCGGGUCUGCAAGUUGGGUGUAAAAUCUACCGGCUCAACCGGUAGCCGCACUCAAAACUGCAGUUCUUGAGUGAAGUAGAGGCAGGCGGAAUUCCUAGUGUAGCGGUGAAAGGCGUAGAUAUUAGGAGGAACACCAGUGGCGAAGGCGGCCUGCUGGGCUUUUACUGACGCUGAGGCUCGAAAGUGUGGGGAGCAAACAGGAUUAGAUACCCCAGUAGUC
RNAcentral lists this ribosomal RNA (440 nucleotides) under uncultured bacterium. Its description in RNAcentral is "partial 16S ribosomal RNA". It matches the Rfam family "Bacterial small subunit ribosomal RNA", at positions 338 to 795 of the family's 1533-position model. The record is from RNAcentral.